UGCCAGGCUUUCCAUGUUCUUGGUUAUAAGGACACAACAAAUGUAGUUUGAGAAAGAAAUAGAGAAGGGGUUGUAUUCCUUUACUGAAUCAUCACAAAUUAACUUAAUAUGCUGGCACUUAAUGACACAUAACAUGAAAUUUGGUGAAGUUUUAUUGGGAGACCUUUCUUCUCGGCCAUAAAUCAGUCGAAAGGGGGAUAUUUUUGUUGUCAUCUGAGGUUUAGAGGACAAAGAAAAGAAAGUUGCUCCAGGAAAUUCAUCACAAUUCCUCUGGGUUCUGUCCACCACCUUCUGGAAUGCUCUGUAAAAAUAGUGACCGAUUGGUCCAAUUCCUUGAUAUUAGCGAUUGAACUUAAUUUCUGGAAGAGCUGGCUGAGCAGAGUGUGAUGGGAGGCACAUCACAUGGCAUUGCUAGGACUACUUUUUGUUUUAAACGUGAUGCGUUAUGAACAUUUUCAAUGUAAUCAUUCAGUUUUGAAGAUUUAUUCACAAUACGCCAUCCAUGGCAGAGUGCCCUAAACUUACGUUGAUUAUUUGAAAAUAAAUACCCUCACGUUA
Molecule: long non-coding RNA, 558 nt
Organism: Chelonia mydas (Green sea turtle)
Lineage: Eukaryota; Metazoa; Chordata; Testudines; Cheloniidae
Exons: 2
Source: RefSeq, a predicted model, not a curated record